This 429-nucleotide ribosomal RNA is filed under the name uncultured bacterium. RNAcentral's name for it is "bacterial SSU rRNA". It matches the Rfam family "Bacterial small subunit ribosomal RNA", at positions 355 to 776 of the family's 1533-position model. The record is from RNAcentral.
UAGGGAAUCUUCGGCAAUGGGGGCAACCCUGACCGAGCAACGCCGCGUGAGUGAAGAAGGUUUUCGGAUCGUAAAGCUCUGUUGUAAGAGAAGAACGAGUGUGAGAGUGGAAAGUUCACACUGUGACGGUAACUUACCAGAAAGGGACGGCUAACUACGUGCCAGCAGCCGCGGUAAUACGUAGGUCCCGAGCGUUAUCCGGAUUUAUUGGGCGUAAAGCGAGCGCAGGCGGUUAGAUAAGUCUGAAGUUAAAGGCUGUGGCUUAACCAUAGUACGCUUUGGAAACUGUUUAACUUGAGUGCAGAAGGGGAGAGUGGAAUUCCAUGUGUAGCGGUGAAAUGCGUAGAUAUAUGGAGGAACACCGGUGGCGAAAGCGGCUCUCUGGUCUGUAACUGACGCUGAGGCUCGAAAGCGUGGGGAGCAAACAGG